GUUGUGGUAGGAGUGGCAGUAUCAUAGUCAAUGAGGUGAAUCCGAGGCGUGAUUAUUGCUAGUUGAAAACUUUUCUGCCCUGCCUGCUAAGAGCUGAAAUUACUUCCGAUGGGGCAGUGUUUCUGCCCAGCUUGCAAAAGA
RNAcentral lists this small nuclear RNA (141 nucleotides) under Chelydra serpentina (North American snapping turtle). Its description in RNAcentral is "U4 spliceosomal RNA (ENSCSRG00000002321.1)". It matches the Rfam family "U4 spliceosomal RNA". Rfam says of the family: U4 small nuclear RNA (U4 snRNA) is a component of the major U2-dependent spliceosome. The structure of U4 snRNA from yeast and human has been reported. Lineage: Eukaryota; Metazoa; Chordata; Testudines; Chelydridae. The record is from Rfam by way of RNAcentral.